This 3211-nucleotide long non-coding RNA is filed under the name Homo sapiens (human). RNAcentral's name for it is "HSALNT0011222". Lineage: Eukaryota; Metazoa; Chordata; Mammalia; Primates; Hominidae. The record is from RNAcentral.
UGCAAAUGGACUUUCCACUUGGCCAGUGCAGUCUUCUCUGCUCCUUACUGUACACGUGGCUGUCAAGGAGAAGAGAAGAAGGAGCUGCCAUUUUGAACAUGUCUAGUCCCAGACUAAUAGAAGCGGAAAAGGAACACCAUGGAAACACCAGACGGGCUGGAGAGAUAAGCAAGCUUUGAAAUACCUGAACCUCGGUUAAAUACACAUGACAGGAUUUUUGUCGUGACUUUCCUAAAUUCUCACUGUGCCAAGCAAGCAAGAAAGUGCCCACAGGAGUGGGAGGGAAAAGACACAUGGGAUGGCAGCAAGGAAACCUGCCUAGAGGAGCCAGCCAUCCCGUCUGUCCCCUCACUUCCUUCCAGAGAGAACGUCUUUCCUUGACAGCGCCUGCCUCCUGUCAUUUCAUCCCAACACUUUGCCCAGCCCGGGAAAUCUGGAUUUUCUUUUUAAAGAAAGAUGUCUAGAGAGAAAAAUAGAAAAUGAACAGCCAAUAGAAAGUGCAACAGAGCUUGUUGAUUUGGUUCUGUCAGAUGCCCCAAGUGUUCGUGGUAAGCUGGAAAACUCUCCAUCCACUAGAGGCAGCCACAGCUCGGGAUGCUGAUAAAGUUCUGACACAGGGAGUGAGUGAUGAGUGGUGUGUAAAAGUUCUGACACAGGGAGUGAGUGAUGAGUGGUGUGUAACGUGCUGAAAACAGGAAGCUCUGACAACAAUGUGAAGAGGAACCUUCUGAACACAAAUUCUAUGGCUCCAAAUAAGCAAGUUAAUAGUCCUGAUAUCUUGACUUGAUCUACAGAAGAAACCCCACUCAGGAUAACUUUUACUUUUCUGGUGGAAGAGACAAUAAGAAUAAAGACUCACUAAACGGUAAUAAAAUCCUCUUUGACUUACUAAUUGGUUGGUAAUUUUGAAAUUUUCUAAUCUGAAUGUUUAACUCCAAAUAGUUUUCAUCCUGUCAUAUGUUACAGUAUUAACAGUUAUAGAAAAAGAACAGGAAUUAUUAGAAACAUUAAAACUAUUCAAAUCUAGGAAAUGUGGAUCUUAGGAUUUGUGUCAGGAAACCAACAACCUUAGGAUGUGCCCCACAGUUGGCUUUCCUGAACCGUGAUCCCAGAAUGCAAGAAGUCAACCCAAUACAAAUCCAUGCUUUCUGACAAUGGCAGAAAAUUUUUUGGCCAUUGUCCAUUGACUGACUCACAAGCUGUGACAAUGUCCCACCAUUACACUCCACCGACUCCCCCGCAAGGCUGUCACCUGUCUUUACCUGCAGCAGCUGCAUAUAUGCACACAUUUAAUAACACUUAGUGGGGGCAUGUUCUGUUCUAGAAACGGUGCCUGCUCCAAAGAUACGGUGGUGAACAAAAUAAAAAUGCUCCCUGUCUCUAUGGAACUCAGAGUCUAGCAGAAGACAAAGACACAAUGUGAAAUACACAUUUCAAUAAGUGCUAUGAAAGAUAGGUUGUACAGUGAUAUGAAAGGGAAUAACAAAGGGAUGCAAAAGAGUUAUGAAAGGCCUCUCUGAGGAAGUCAUGUUUAAGCUGAAAGGUGAAGGUUGCCUAUAAGAAGGUCAGGCAAAAGACAGGGUGUGUGAGUGGGGAAACAUUCUAGGCAGAGGUAACAGCAUAUGCAAGACCCCAUGGAAGAUUAGAAAAAGGAAACAGCACCAAGAUAUGACCUAUUUUCCUUAGAUGACUGAGGGAAUUCAAAUUCAAUGAAUACCUUCUUUAUCUUAAAAGCUAAAGCCUUUACAUUUAUUAUAAAUAGGGAUUUCUAUAAAUCCUGUCAACUCCCACUUAUCCUGUAUUCUCAAUCCUGUAUUUAUUCACCAACAUCUUUGAGCUGUUUUCUCUGGCCUUAUCCUUAUUCUUUCUAAGGUAUAUCUAUCUUUUUUAGCAACCCCGAUAAUUAGAUAGGAUAAUCUGUUGAGAUAUUAAUUUGUGAUUUGUAUUUCUGAUUUGUGCUAUAGAAGACUUGAAGGAUUAGAAGGGACUUUCCUCCUACUUCCUUCACUGGAAAGACAACCAGGCCUUUAUCUUCUAAGAUCUUUUUUCUAUUUUCAAGCAAUUAACAGUUUAUUUUUGUAUCAGAACAUCCUGUCCCAUCCCUCAAGAUCUGUUGCGCAAAAUGUAGGCCCAUCGGGAGGAAGAAAGUUGAGGAGAGGGGUGAUUUGCCUUGCUGGCAACUUAUUGACAUGUCUUUGCCAUGCUCCUACUCAGGAAAUUAGAUCCCAUGACCUAUAAAAUUCAGUCAAAACUGCAGCUAAACUCACACCCUCUGCUAUAUUGGACCUGAAGUCUCUGCAGCCAUUCUCCUCUAUUGCCACAUUCAUCCCCCGUACCAAGUCGUACCCCAUCAAUUCUGCCUGUCCCAUAAUUCAUCUCAAGCUUAUUUUCUUCUAUGCUGUUUCCCUUUCCCACUUUUUAAUUUCACCCUUAUUUUAAUCUCUCAUUUUCCUGUUGUUUCAUAGUGAAACCACUUUGCAAAAUUAUAACUGAGGAAACUAUGACAGUGAAAGACAUCAGACCUAACUGAUUCCAUCUUGCUUCUAACGUUUAAGCUGUCCUUGUUCUUUCCUGGGCAUAGGCCAAACUAACUUUGGGAAGGAAUUCAGUUCAUGGUUUGACUCUGAAACAAAUUGGAACCAGCCCUUUCCUGAAAAACCCCGUUUCUUCCUUGGAGACCAGUCUGCCUUUGCAGGACUAACAACUUAGCUACAACAUUAGAAAUCACAGUUUAGGGGUCAUGCAGUCUCUGGUUCCAAGAGUUUGAACCUCCCGAAAUUGCUCCUGGGGAUAAUAUCGGUAUUGUGAAACCUAAGAUCAGUGCUUAAGACCCUGCACUGGAUGGAUCAGCUGACACCACCCAGAGUGGUAAUCUGGCUCAACCAGUUCUGCCAUCCCUCCCAAGAACAGAAAACAGCAAAAAACAAACAAACAAACAAACAAACAAAAAAAACUCACUUCGACUCCCACUGCCCCCCAUGAUUCCAUCUCCAACCUGACCAAUCAGCACUCCCCACUUCCCAAGCCCCUACCUGCCAAAUUAUCUUUAAAAACACUUAUCAUCAAAUGGCUCAGGGAGAAUGAUUUGAGUAAUAAUAAAACUCUGGUCUCCCGCACAGCUGGCUCUUCCUGAUUUACUCUUUCUCCAUUGCAAUUCCCCUGUCUUGAUAAAUCGGCUCUGUCUAGGCUGCGGGCAAGGUGAACCCAUUGG